Molecule: ribosomal RNA, 620 nt
Filed under: uncultured fungus
Lineage: Eukaryota; Fungi
Description: eukaryotic LSU rRNA
Rfam family: Eukaryotic large subunit ribosomal RNA
Source: RNAcentral
ACCCGCUGAACUUAAGCAUAUCAAUAAGCGGAGGAAAAGAAACCAACAGGGAUUACCUCAGUAACGGCGAGUGAAGCGGUAACAGCUCAAAUUUGAAAUCUGCCUACAGGCCGAGUUGUAAUUUGUAGAAGAUGCUUCGGGUGUGGCUCCGGUCUAAGUUCCUUGGAACAUGACGUCAUAGAGGGUGAGAAUCCCGUAUGUGACUGGAUGCCUAUGCUCAUGUGAAGCUCUUUCGACGAGUCGAGUUGUUUGGGAAUGCAGCUCAAAAUGGGUGGUAUAUUUCAUCUAAAGCUAAAUAUUGGCCAGAGACCGAUAGCGCACAAGUAGAGUGAUCGAAAGAUGAAAAGCACUUUGGAAAGAGAGUUAAACAGUACGUGAAAUUGUUGAAAGGGAAGCGCUUGCAACCAGACUUGCACGUUGUCGAUCAUCCGAUGUUUUCACCGGUGCACUCGAUUUCGUUCAGGCCAGCAUCGGUUUUGGUGGUUAGAUAAAGACCUUAGGAAUGUGGCUCUUUCGGGAGUGUUAUAGCCUGGGGUGUAAUGUAGCCUACUGGGACCGAGGACCGCGCUUCGGCUAGGAUGCUGGCGUAAUGGUUGUAAGCGACCCGUCUUGAAACACGG